RNAcentral lists this long non-coding RNA (229 nucleotides) under Rattus norvegicus (Norway rat). RNAcentral describes it as "long non-coding RNA NONRATT011001". Lineage: Eukaryota; Metazoa; Chordata; Mammalia; Rodentia; Muridae. The record is from RNAcentral.
UCAUGUCUACAGAAGGGGAAUCUUAAAAUGAGUUACCAGCAGGAUGGAAAUUCAGGACAACAGAAACAGCUGGAUGUGUGAGAACGUCGGUCAUGAUCACACGGUAGAGGAAUCACACGGUGGAGGAAGCUGGGAUCAGGUGCAAGGCAACCUGCCUUCAUUCUUUCACUCGUAGAGGUUUCAGCUCAUUAAAAACUGCUGCGGAGAACACACAUUCUUGCUUAAAACA